Non-coding RNA from Nothobranchius furzeri (turquoise killifish), 1122 nucleotides. The record is from RefSeq and is a predicted model, not a curated record. Lineage: Eukaryota; Metazoa; Chordata; Actinopteri; Cyprinodontiformes; Nothobranchiidae.
ACACACACACACACACACGCACGCACACACACACACACACACACACACACACACACACACACACACACACACACACAUACACACACACACACACACACACACACACACACACAACUGAAAUAAAAGACCUAUAUAAACUAAGGUGGGAAGACUGAGAGACAUGAAGAAAACCAGGAGGGAGCUGGGGACAAAGAGGCUGGAGCUACAAGGACACAGAACGUGAAGGAAAACCUGGAGGGGCUGGGGAUGACUGAAUGAACACAGGGCCUGGGAGGAAUGAUCUAAAGGGCUACAAACAGAAGACACAUGAACACAAAGAGACACAUAAAUGAGACGCAGACAAAGGACACAUGAGGGCGCUAUGAGACACAAAGGGGGAAACUAGAGAGGGAUGGAGAACACGAGGAGACACAUGAGGGAAGACGCAGACGCAGACCAUGACACAGAAGGAAAUUUCUUAAUAAUGAGUAUAACUAACAAUUAGAUAUUGUUAUUUUGACAGUAAUAUCAGAAAAAAGAGAUUAAUUAUGCUGUUUUGUUGAAGACGGUGGCAGUAUAACAAUCAAAACAAUCAAAACACAAAGAUAACCCUUAAUUUCCUCCCCUUUUCCUGUCAGACGAUGCUGAUGGACAUGGACAUCACUCUGAUCGUCAUGGCCGGCUUCCAGCUGAUCUCCUCACUUAUUCUCAUCAUUUUUGGCAUGAUGUUUUUGUGCGGCAGGUGGAUGGAGAAAGACAUCAGUGAUAUUAAGAUUCGACAGCUGUUGUUGAAGAACAUCCUCCUGAGCGGUUCUACUGUUUAAAAACUUGUAUUAAUGUUUCUAAUCACUUCAGCUGAUAUUAUUUUAAAUGCAGCAGCUGAACAGAAUCACUCCGACUUUACAGGAAAGGAAACAUUUCCUUUGGGGUCCAAUUUGGUUCCAUUUAAUCCUUGAAAAAUGAACUUUUCACUCUUUCGUUUUAAACACAGCUGUGCAGUGAAGCUGACAUCUGAUUAAACAUUCUUCAGAAAAAGAAAAUGAUGCUUUACAACAUGGAGACAAUGAAACCUGAACUCACAUUUUUAACACUGUGAUCCUUCUAAAAAUUAGGAAACUAUGUGAAUAAAAUCAGAGGAACUAA